AGAGAAAAAGGAGAUUGUGAAAGUAUUUGAAUCAUGAGAUUUUUGUGAAGAGUAAAUGCAAAAAGAAGCUAAGGUGACCACUGAUGUCCACUAACCCAUGACAGAAGGGAGUCCCCAGCUGGGAACAGAUUCCAUGACAUGUACUGAUUGUCUGAGCUCUGCAAGACUUUCGGCUCAGCUGGAGGAGCCAGAUGUGUACCCUGCCCCUUUGGAGAACCAGCCUCAAGUGCCAUGCUGUCAAAGCCGUGGAGAGAUUCUGGAGGAGAAGCCGUGCUGUGCAGAGAUGGAGAAAGGCCAAGGAACCAGGAGGUGCUGGGCACGGCAGUGAGGACCCACCUUGAGAGUGGGUCCUCCCCCACCUGACAACGUGAGAUUCAGAGACAAGAACAGCCCAGCCAGCUCCUUUCCAAACUCUCAAACGACACAGAUGUGAGCUAAAUAAAAUGGUUGUGCUAAGUUA
Long non-coding RNA from Galeopterus variegatus (Sunda flying lemur), 460 nucleotides. RefSeq lists it as uncharacterized. The transcript has 3 exons. Lineage: Eukaryota; Metazoa; Chordata; Mammalia; Dermoptera; Cynocephalidae. The record is from RefSeq and is a predicted model, not a curated record.